UCAGCGGCGGCAGCUCGGGAGCUGCGGGGCUGUGUGCAGCCGAGAUAAAUUUGGGUCUAAAGGGAUGACGUAAUGCUAAACCCGAGAGGUGGCUGCUGUCUCCCAGGGCUCCAGUCGCCAGGGCUGCCGGCUGACUUCCCAACCACAUGGAAACGCACCAAGCGACCCAGUCUGCAUUGCAGGAUUCAGUGAAUGUGCACUGCUAAGUGGCCUGCUUGCUCAUCCUGGAGAACACACCUGAACCCCGGACCUGGUGGGGGGCACCAAGGGGCUGGUGGUAUGGUAAGAAACUCAAAGGGGUGUCCCGUGAACGUUGCCUCAAAAUGUUUCACAGUUUGUAUUGUUUUUUUCUCUCCCCUUAAGCUGACUUCUCAGUGUUAAGUGUCCAUCUUUUUCGGUUCAGAGAAGUAUGUCCACAUAACAAAAGCCACAAGCUGGCAUACCCGUGGAGAAAGCAUUGAAACCUGGGCCUAAAGCUACAUGUUACCUUCUCAUCUCUAGAAUUUUCUUUUCUGAAUGACUCAUGUUUAAAAAAAGGAAAAUGUAAGAACACACAUACUAAAGUGGAGCUAAGUUUUCUGGUCUUUUCGACCUGUGGGGCCCCAACCUCAAUGCUUUAAAUGUCUGGAUUAAAUUACAUUCUUAAAGGGUCCCAAGGCAUCCCAAAUCUGCCUUUUUCUCUUCAAGGUUCAUUUUUUCCCUAAAGAAAGGUUACUCUGCCAGCUGCUUCUCUGGCCAUGAUGACCACAAGCCUCAGACCCAACUCCAGGGUCCCUCUGUGUAGCUCCUACCCCCAGGUCUCUGCGGCUGCCUUCCUUGGAAUGCCUCCUGAGACCUUUGACGCUGGUGUCACCGAAUCCUCCCCUGUAGUUUGUUUUUAUAGUCAUUUCUGCUGGUAGAUCUCAUGAUGUCAGCCACACCUGUGCAUAGAACCUGGCCUCUGCUCGGUGAUUAAAGCUUGCCUUGCCCUCCAAGGUCCCGGAUUCAAUCCCCAACACCACAAAAAUGAAUACAUUGCAAUUUUUGUUUUGUUUUAAGACAGAGUCUAACGUAGCCCAGGCUGGCCUCAAACUCACUCUGCAGCCAAGGAUGACCUUGAAUGCUCUGUUCCUCCUGCUUCCACGUCCCCAAGUGCUGGGACAGCAGGCAUGUGCUACCAUCCCAGCUAAUUUUCUUUCUUCUUGCUUUUUAUUUAGCUAUUUGAUUGUUGCAUUUAUCAGAUUUUGCUAGUGCAAAGAACCUUUUUAAAAAACAAACAAACAAACAAACUAAAUCCUUAUUUGUGUGUGUGUUUGUCUGCACACAGGCAUCUGAAUGCACACCCAUUCAGAGGUCAGAAGAGGACCUCGGGUAUCCUGCCCUAUCAUGUCGUGCUGCAUCUCUGAGCCUGGAGCCUGCUAGUUUUCAGCCGAGUUGAGUGGCCAACAAAGACAGUAAUCCUCCUGUCUCUGCACACAGCCACUGGGCCACGCAGACUUUGGUGCGAGUGCUGGCGACAGCAGGCAGUUACCUACUGACCAUCCCCUGUCCCAAUUAGAAGCAACUUGACUUUAAAGCCAUUAGAAAUAAUAUAUAAACCAUUUUUAAAAAGAGAAGGAGCUGAAUGUCUUGGGACACACCUUUAAUUCCAGAAGGCAGAGGCAGGUAGAUCUCUGUGAAUUUGAAGUCAGCCUGGUCUACAUAGCAGUUCCAGGCCAGAAGGGCUAUGUAGUAAGGCCCUGUCUUAAACAGGAACAAACUAAACUUUAAAAAAAAAAAAAAAAAAGCCAGAGACCAACCCCGCUGCUAAGACUGGGCCUUACAGUCCGCCAUGGCCCCAGUUCCCAUCACCCUCCUAACCCCUUUGAGGAAUUGGCCUGGAGUGGCCCUGCACCCUGCCCUCUGUGGAUAUCACCGCCCUUUCCUGGUGGCACAGACUGGGCACUAAGCCACAUGUCUAGCCCCUUCUGCUUCAGGUGCAGCAGUUACAAUAAAAAUACAGGCUCUUACCCAGGCGUGGUGGCGCACGCCUUUAAUCCCAGCACUUGGGAGGCAGAGGCAGGCGGAUUUCUGAGUUCGAGGCCGGCCUGGUCUACAGAGUGAGUUCCAGGACAGCCAGGACUACACAGAGAAACCCUGUCUCGAAAAAACAAAAACAAAACAAAACAAAACAAACAAACAAAAAAAAAAACCAGGCUCUUACUGGUCUGCCUGCAGAUAUGAAUGACAUCACCUCACCCUCACUUUCAGCUCCAACCUUGACUUUAGAAUGUUAGGAGUCUCCAGAGUGCCUAGAACAAAAUGAAUCCAUUUACCUACCAACUUGCUACCAUGCAACCGUGUCAGUCAGUGCUCUAUUGCUGCGAAGAGACACCGUGAUUAUGGCAACUCUUUUUGUAAAAGAGAACAUUUGAUUGGGGCUGGCUUAAGGUUCAAAUGUUUGAUCCUUAUCACAUCAAGAAGCAUGGCGGCAUACAGCCUAGAGUUCCACAUCUGGAUCUGCAGGCCACGCCCCAGUGACGCACUUCCUCCAAUAAGACCACACCUGCUCCAACAAGGCCACACCUCCUAAUCCUUUGAAGUUGCGCCACUCCCUAGGAUAGGAGGCCAUUUUCAUUCAGAUGCUCGCAUGCGCAGCACUGUGUCUAUAUUCAGCUCUUUAUUAUUUAUGUAUUAAUUUAUUUAUUAAUUCAUUUAUUUAUUUAUUAUAUGUAAGUACACUGUAGCUGUCUUCAGACACGCCAGAAGAGGGCGCCAGAUCUUGUUACGGAUGGUUGUGAGCCACCAUGUGGUUGCUGGGAUUUGAACUUAGGACCUUCAGAAGAGCAGUCAGUGCUCUUAACCACUGAGCCAUCUCUCCAGCCCCUAUGGUCAGCUUUUUAACCCUCAAUUUCUAAGAUUUUUGUUUGACAGAAGAAGUUCAGAAAGAGUAAAAAAUUUGCUCGAGGGAACAGGAGCAGCAACUAGAUUCAAAGCCAGAUCUUUGGACACUACCCCAUCCCACCCACCACCCCACACACAUUUGGCUAGAAAAAAUUGGCCAACAGUCUCACCUAUUCCUCUAGGCAGCUUUGGGGUGUGUUAGAAUGGGAUUCCCGUAGCCUUUAGCAGGCAGAAAACAAGGAUGCUCUAAGUCCUACAAUAUUCUAGACUAUUUACCAUCAUCUGAGCAUAGCUCUCAGCUUUUGUUUUGUUUUAUUUGAGGACUUUUUUCUCAAGCUAAGGUCUCAUUAUGUAGCCAAGGCUACCCUAAAAGUUGCUAUGUAUCCCACUCUAUCCUUAAACCCAAAAUCCUCCUGCCUCAGCCUUCCCAGGGCUGGGGUUCUAGCUGCAAACCACCACAAUGGGUACAAUAGUGUUCUUGUUAAAAGCUAACUCAGAAAAUUCAUCGUUCAGCAAAUAUGCCCCAGACCUCUUGCCAAAUGCUAUGCGCAGAUGAGAAAGGCUUGCUCCCCUGUCCCCAGGGCUCUCAUCUUCUGACACACAGACCGACGAUAAACAAGUAAAAAGCUGUAAAUCAUGAGGAGCGGACUAAUGCUUAAGUGAUGAAGCGUGCUAAACGCAGCCUCUGACUUAGCAGAUAGGGGAUGCAGCAGGGGCAGCCAAGCCUCGGGGGAAGGCAAGGGUACCCAUCCAAGAGCAUCGUGAUGCUCUGAAAACCACGGACGAAAGGUAUGGCAGGGAGUUUGGGUUUUGUCCUUCACGAGGCAGGAAACAAGACUUUAAAACAAGCAAGUAACCUGAAUCCAGUUAUUUUUCACAUUACUCUUGUUUCUAGAGCUCUACUCCGGACAGAAGGAGGUUAGCCCUGUGCUGUCCGACAGGAACCAUCUGGGCCACACUGUCCCUGCAACAACUGGGAGGGACCUCGAGCCCAUGGCGGAAAUCCACACUGCCUUCGACUUUGCCUUCUCAGCGGAAGCCCUUGGCGCCAAGCACCGGCCAGCCCAGUUGCCCUACAAGCUGGGGCGUCCCAGAAAGUCUUGGAGCCUAGCAGGGUGUGGAUCCACAGCCCAGACAGUCAGCCUCUGGUGCUACAGGUGCCCUACUGGUCCGGUGAGUUUCUCAGAGGGUGCUGGCAAGGUGGCUUUAGCAAGCAAGCAAGCAAAACUACCCCCCCCCCCAAGACCAUCAGCCUCCAGGGAAUGGCUUUUGUGUCAAUGCUGGGAAAACCCUGGAAGCUCCUGGCUGCUUCUCUCCACCCUAGGAUGGAUGGGGAGAAAAGGAAGUCCCUCUAGGAAGCUAUAUCUUCCUGGAGCCCUCAGCCUGUAACUCAAACACUCCAGACUCCCUCUCUUGCCUCUUGUUAUCUUGGCACUCCCUAAUCCCCCAAGGAAGAAGAGUGUGUUUAAGUCCCAGCCCUCUUGCUGCUAGCAUGUGGCCUUGGGAAAGUGAGCCAGCCCUGCUAAGCUGAAGCUAUGGGCAGCUAUAAAACUGCCUAUGGGAUGCUCGUGAGAACUUAAUGCAGAGCACUUAGCAUUGUGGAGCACACAGUAAAUGCUCAGUAAAAGGCGGGCAUUAGCAUCAUUCCUCCAGAGAACAGGAAGGCGCCUGCACUUGUCUCUUGGGAGAGAGACUGGGUAUCAGACUCCCGGGGGAGACAGCCUAGAACUGUGCAUUGUUUUCUCUUUGACUAAUACAUAAACCAGAGCAUGCACCUGAACUAAAGAGCAGACAGUCUUCACUCUCAGGGCACCACGCAGUUUGGCUCCCCACCAUUUUAGAUAUUUCUUGUUGCAUGAAGCUAAAUUCCAUGGCUGGUUUAAAAAAAAAAAAAAAAAAAAGGAUGAGGGAAAGUUGUAUGCAAGGCACUCUGAGUUUAAGAGACAAAGAGACAUGGAGACAUGACAGGGACCGGCAGGCUGCCAUAGGAGGUAACUGGGGGUGGGGUGGAGGGCAUUCUGUAGCUCUGGCACCUCAGAGAUAAAAACAAGGAAGACACCAGCUCCCCGUGCCACCCGUGGCUAGAAGUUACAUAGCCUGGACCUGCCCUCUACUUUAAUACAAUGGAUUGCCUAUUAGAACUCUAAACCAUCUUCAUUCUUGCAUCCUUGUAGCGACACUAGAUAGACAAAGUAAAACAUUUCAGCUACUUGAUAGACCAAAUCUCUCCUUUUUGAUUUAAGCUUGAAUUCUCCUAAUCAUGUCCUCCCUCAGGACAGCGUGGUUAUCUUUGUAAUUGUCUGUGCUUCAGUCUCUUAGGAGACAUUGGAGCUGGGUGGCCAAGGGCAUGCUGUCUGGACAGUGGAAGGGUAGUGUGACUGGUAAAGAGGACCCUCAAAUGCAGAAGGCCCACCAGAUCUGUUGAUGUUAAGAGGGCAAACAUAAAAUCACAAAGCAUUUUAAAUGUUUCACUGAGGGCUGGGGAAGAGGAGUGCACACAGGAAGACCUUCCUCUCCCCCCCACCCCCCCAUAUACACGAAAGGGUUUCUCUGUAUAGGCCUCGCUGUCCUGGAACUCACUCUGUAGACCAGGCUAGCCUAAAAUUCAGAGAUCCGCCUGCCUCUGCCUCCCGAGGGCUGGAAUUAAAGGCAUGCACCACUGUGUCUGGCUGGAACUCCUUUUGGAACCUCAGGAUGAGUUUUUAUUCUAUCCAUAAUGUCCAUAGAGCCAAAGACACAAACCUCAAGUCAGAUCCUGCCCCCGCACUGGUGGCUGGGAUUCACUUUGAGGCAACUGAGCUCCUGAGUAGGGAUGUGGCUCACUCAGUUGGUGGGCACUUGCCUACCAUGCAUGACACCAGCAUUGGAUUCUCCAGCACCCAUAACAGAAUGCCUAGAAUCCAAGCACGGGGUGAAUCACAAGUCAAACAGCAUCCUCAGCCAUCUUUCAUGGCUAGCCUGGGCUACAUGAGACCCCUUUUUUUUUAAAGGGUAACUAAAAUGUUUUAAUCCUGACAUUGAAAUUGAGUAUACAUGCAUUCUGUGAAGGUAACAACUGCUAGAACCUAGCACCGUGCUAACCCUAUGGUACAUAUACACUCCUUAAGUAACAGUUUAACAAGUAACUGGGCUAAUGCACAGAACUGAUUUAGGGAGAAAUUCCUGUUCCACAAUGUAACUCUGUCUUAUUAAAGCAGUUGCCACAAAAGCCUUCAAGAGGAAUUUCUCUGGUCUAAAAUAUCUUGAAAGGGAUCCUGUUUAUGUGCUUCCUGGAGACUUUGUUGCUUAAAGCAAGAGUCACCUGAACUUUCAAAAUGUUUCACAAGUGAGGGGCCCAGCCCAGCAUCCUGCUCAGAUGAGGAAGCAAAGACUGAGCCUCCAGCCCAGGAUAACAGUGGCAGGUGCCCAUUGGUCUGAGCCAGAGAAAUGAAGCCAGACUUUGAGGGCUUUAAGACCUCUGGCCAGGCUGCUCCGAGACAAUGGGGUCAGAGGCAGUUGCUGCCAUAAGUUUAGAAAAGAUCCAGAGGGUAGGUCCCCCUCCACGCCCAUCCCAGGCUCUCCCUUCCUCUCUCUGUCUCCCUCCCUCCCCUCUCUUCUCUCCCUUCCCCAGGCUCUGAGUCUAGAACCCCACCCAAUGUCCUUGUUCAAGCUUAGAAUGGCCACCAGUGUCACCAGCUCCUGUCUCCUUCCCCGCCACCCCUCAUCUGUGCGAGAAAAUAUUUUUCUUAGUGCAGCAAAGUCAAAUUAGCUUCAUUUUGAAAGACUACAGAGAAUGUUGCAAUGACCUUUGCAAUAACCAGACACACCCUGGGCUCAGUAAACCAGGCUUGAGAACUGCUGAGCUUAUGAGCACCUGACCUGUAAGACAAAAGCUAUUUGGGGCUCUAUCUAUGACCCAGUCUCCUAUCACACAGAUGAGAACACGGCACAGAAAGGCCUUGUUCUGCCUCUGCUGUGACACUGCGGGCAAGCCACUGUCCCUCUCUGGGCCUCGGCCUCGUUGCUCCGUAGUAAGGACGCUCUGUGGUUUCUGGCAUGCCCUGUGGUCAAGAUGCUGCCUUUAGCACCUGCCUCCUGUAAACCCCAAACUGAAAACAGAGGGCAAAAAAGAACGGGGUUCCUGCGCACUGAAAGCCGCUUGCUUUGUCCUGCAGAAGGUCGUGUCUCUUACUCACUUGUCUCUUUCUGAUUCUUUUUUUCCCCCCUUCUCUUCCUUAAAGAAAAAGAAACUGAAAAGCCACAAAACCACAACUCACCUCCCCAAAACGGGUCACUUGGAAGCCAGGGCCGUGUGGGGUUAGGUGUGCCAGGCCUGACAUGCUGGUGGUAUCUAAGUGAAAACCAAGCUAGGGCAAGCAUGUAUUUCUCCUCCAGAAACCCAGUUUAAAUCAAUAUUUAUCCAACUGUAUUUAUAGAAAGUGAUGGUAGGAGCAGGGGGUGGGGCAGAGAGUCAGGGGGAUCUAAAACUGUACAAUCCACAAAGACUGAUACAAAUCAUAAUCUUGGUGGCCAAUGGGACCUGGCUCUUUUAUUUAUUUAUUUUUAUUUUAUUUUAUUUUAUUUCAUUUUAUUUUAUUUUUUGGCAAAAGACUCAGCAUUUGAUGAACCUGCUGCUGGCCUCAGUACCAUAGCGACAGCCCUAGAUCCUCUAAUAUGCCCACAGGACAGACUUGGGAUAAGGCAACAGGAGGGGGUAGUGAGUGUUUCCUAGGAGCCCUGAACUUGAGUUAAGGCCAGGAGAGUUGAAUAACUGAGAACGGAGGAGGGGGGUAUGGGUGGGGGAGAACCAACCCUCUCUGGUUGGCUACUCUUGACUUACGUCCCACUUUUCUACACAAGGUGUGUACAGGAAGGCUUUGGAAAAUCAACAGGGUGUUCCAAAUACCAGCCCUGUUUCAUGUUGCCAGGUGACCUUAAGCAAGUCAUUUCAAAUCCGCCUGGACUUCAUUCCUUAGCUGUAAAAAGAGUACACGUGUAUACGGUUGAAGGUAUAUGGGCUCUGGAGCUAGAGGCCCAGGUGGCAAACAGCUCUACCACCUACUAGGCACAUGAUCUUUGGGGAAGUUACCCAGCAUCCCUGCACUUCAAGUCCUCAACUCCUGCUGCAAAGUAGAGGUAAUAAAAUUGUGCACGCUAUAGAAAAGAGAACUCCCGGCUGGUCCUCAUGCUAACCCUUGGGAGUCAACACUGGAAGUAUGCAGUAGGAUUGGAAGCCACAGCUUGGCUAUGCUGGCACCCUCUGUUUCCCAGUUUCAUCUCUAUAUGUUUGCUCAGCCAUCUCCAGAUGAAGACCUGUUCCUGGGUGAGCCCUGGGAGAGUGUUGGAGUUGAGAGCAGUGUGAGCACCGGCUGCUUCCGCUUUGUAGUUGAUGGAGCCUCCUUCCCUGACCUCCAUAGCAACAACAGCUCAAUUCAACUUCCUUAGUUUCCUCAAGUCUCACCUUCAGCCCCUGGGUCCCCUUCACCUGGAAUCUCUGGAGUUCCGAGAGCCACAAUGACAUUCUCGUCUACUUCUGGCAUCUACUACGUUUUAAACCCGUACCAAAUCCAAAAACACAGUUUAAAACGUGGACAAAAAUGGGGGCCUGAUUUAGCAAUGAUCUUUACAAUCUCUUCUGAAAAUGAACCCCCUACCUCUCCACCCCACUGUGACUCACCCCACAGAGCUUGCAGGGGAAAGAAGUUGAUCAGAGAGUAGACACUUGGUGCUUAUUAUGAGUCAGUGGGUUCAUCCAAAGAUGCCUCCUGUGUAGAGUGGUAACCUGUUUGAACAUUAAUGCCCUCCGUCUCAGCACAAGUCACUCCAGAGCCGUCUUUCUAAGCAAGGACUUAUUCAUUCUUCCGAUCACAGCUGUUGACAGUAUGUAGAUGCAGCUAGCCAGACGACCUGACCCACUAUCUACUUUGCAGGUCCUGGACUUGCUGACCCCCCAAACACUCAGAACCCAGCAUUUCCAGCUUCGAUCAUGUCUUUGAUCUCCAAACCUGAUCACAUGCCAUAGCCAAGAAAUGGCAAAGGCAGCCCAUUAAGAAAUCUAUAGCAAGUACCUACUAUCCAAAUGAUGCAUACGAAAACACUGUAGGUGCUCUGGUCCUGUAAGGCCUGAAUAACCGGGCUGGGGCGAAGGCUCAGCGAGGAAAGCAUCUGCCACUCAAGCAUGCAGUCCUGAGUGUGGGUCCCUAGUACCCCCUGUACAAGCCAGGUGUGGUAUUGCCCAUCGGUGACCCCAGUGCUGGGGGCAGGGCAGAGGCAGGCAAAUCCCAGGAGUUCACUGGCUAGCCAUUCUAGCCAAUCAUUGAGUUCCAAGUUCAUUAAGAGACGGUCUCAAAAAAUACCCCUGGCCUCCACGGGGCACACGUGAGAGAAGCACACACACACACACACACACACACCCAACACACAACUGAAUGUCUGCAUAUACCACACUCAUACACACACAAGAUGUUGUUAUUCUCCCUGCAGAGACAAAGCUAACACAGGGGAAACAAGUAGAAGAUUGUGAGAGCUCAGGGGAAUUUCCAUUUUAAACAAUUAGGUAUACAUGUGACUGUGUGUGUGUACAAGUGUGUGCAUGUACCAAAUGCAUAUAGGGACCCAAGGAGGUCAAAAGAAGGUGUUGUAUCCCUAGGGCCAAGGCAGUUGUGACCUGCUUGCUGUGUGUGCCAGAGACAGAACUGCGAUCCUUAACUGCUGAGCCGUCUCUCCAGCCCCAGAAGUUACCAUUUAUUGAGCAUGCACUGUGUCUCAGGUGACCCAGUCGCUCUGUGAUGAUGUAAGGGAGGUGCUAUCAUUAUGCUCACACAAUGCAGCCUCAGAGAAGCUGAGGAACUUGCGUCCAAACAACAGUAGGAAUUUGGACCUCUGAUCCUUCUGACUGCCAAGCAUCACACACUCUCGAAACUAAUCUGACCCCCAAAUUGACACCCAGUGAUCUGAAGCAGCCCAUAGGCUUCAAGGAGGAGGGUAGGGACCGGCCUACGUCAUGAAGGAAGGGUAGGACACAGAAACCCUGCGGAGUAGGAGAACGAGGGCGUCCUCCACUGAGCCAAACACAGGGGCAUGACUGUGAAGCCUGAUAGCUGGUGGACCUGCUGGACUGGAGUUGAGGUUUCAUGUCCAGGCAGAGGAGGUUAAGUCAGGAAGGCAGGGUGGGGCCAAAUGACACCACGCAGCAGCAACUUCCAGCACCAGCUUCCUACACCAACAGGAAGAAGCUGUUUCAGGGCCUACCCAUUCCCCUAGGAACACACCCUACCUCCAACCCAGGCAGUCUACACCAGAAAGUAAACUGUGGCUUCUAUCCCCACCUUGUCACUUUCCCUGUCUGAUGCCACCUCCAAAGACCUGCCCCAAAUGCUGAAAGCCAUCUUUCCCCUCUAGACCUUAACUUUUUCCACUCUGAGGGGGCUUACUUGUUUUUAGGACUUAAAUGUGCAUGUUAUGUGUACAUCUGUAGAAAGCCCCGUGGAGGCCGGAGGUCCUUGAAGCUUGAGUUACAGGUGGCUGUGAGAUACCCAACGUGGGUACUGAGAACGCAACUCAGGCCCUUCUGUAAGAAGAGCGUGCACUCUUAACCGCGAAGACAUGCAUAUAGGUGAUGAUGUCACAGGCUAUUUCCAAGUCUGUGAUAACAGGGCCACUGCCUACAUGAUAAAUACUUCUGGAAGCUUUUGAGAUCCACAGAUUCACACCAGGUGACAUUUCGGGAGACUGUACCUAUAUUACCCUCAGGAAUUUCUUCCCUCGGAUGUACUACAGGGUCAACACUGAGUAUUUGAACUCCUCCCUCACGAAAAAUCACCCCAUCUAAUGGAAAUAAUUCAUCACUGCGGCCAAAACUUGGUGAACACUCCCAGUACGGAAACCUCAAAGAGGCAAUAAAAAGGAGUUCUGGCUGCAGUGGAAAAUAAGCCAAGCUCCGGCCAAGUUGAGUACUUUGCAAACACUGAAAACCAAACGUGUGAACGCGUGACCAGACGCUACCGACGCACCUCAAAACACAGCUCAGCGAACCCGAAAUGGAGUCGAAAGGGCAGGCACUUGUCUAAGAGAAGAGAGCCCCUUUAAGAAAAGACUGGACCAGCUGGCUGCACUACAGCGCCUAGUGAUUUCCUGGCUCACGUCCUGGCUCCGCCCCCCAGCCUCGGGCCUCAGCAACGCGUGACGUCACGAGAGGCGGAUGCUGCCGAUUGGCUGGACGAUACAGCUAGGUCAAGUCCAGUCGGAGGAAAGAAGUUUGUCUCCAUGUGGAAACCAUGUGUCUAGCGCUGGGAGGGGGAGGAGGAGGAGGCGGAGAAACUGAGAUCAAGUGAUUACAGGGGAACUCGCUGAAAUGAAGGCGGGGAGGUUGUGCACCUGAAUCAGCCAGCCAUACCCUUUGCAGUAGUGACCUAAAAUAAAAAAAAUAAAAAAAGACUCGCACAACAAAAACAACAACAACAAAACCUUGGACACCCACCCCCAUCAUAAUAACUACAAAGCAUAGGUGGGGAGGAGGGUUUUUACUUCCUCCAAAAAGCCUGGGGCAGGGAAAUGCUGGAAUCCUAUCGGAACGCCCAGAUCUAACCACCCCCCAACAACUGAAUGAUGUAAGCGUUUCGGAAAGCAGAGCUCUGGAGCAAAACAAGCCCCGCGCGCGCGGAGCGACCCGCAGUGCCCGAGCCCGGCGCACGCACGACCCGCCCCCCGACUCGCGUUAUUGCUGUGCACACGCGGACCGCCGUGACGCGCGGGCAUUGUGUGCAGCGAGCAGAAAACAACGGCGAGCGCCCGCUGCGCGGAGAAGCGCCCCCAAUAAAGCAAGACAGAUGUAGGGCCCGGCGUUUGCCGUACUGGGGGGACCCAGUCCGCUCGAGGGAGGAAGAGCGUGGGGGGCGAAUAAAGUGGCCAGAGUGAGCCGCUUCUGUUAGCAAGGGUGGACAAUCUGGGGGUCCGACGAGUGGUCUCCUGGAGUUUGCGGGAGGGUCACCCUCGCCUGCGUGAGCUGUCGCGGAGGGAGCGAGGGCCUGCAGCCGAAUCGCUGCAGCCGAGCCAGGCACGGCGCAGCGCCCCACGCUCUCGGGGAAAUCUGGGGGCUGUUGGCAUCACGUCAUUUCGAGCCAAACAGCAGCGGCGAAAAGACGCGAGAGUGCUAAAAAUACUCCCGCGGGGAGCCGGUCGGAGGAGGGGGGCUGCGGGCCGAGGGGCUGAUUACGCACAUGAAGUUGACUUUGACUGGGGUGCAGAGGCUCUCGAGCCCCUCUCCAUGGCCGGCCGUCUUGCAGAGAGGACACCCAGGGAGAGGGUCCGAGAGGAAGCCCCUUAACUGCACCGGCCUCUGGAACCUUGGCUCGGCCACCACGGGCCCGCCCCGCGCGGGGCAGCCCAGCCGGGCGCGCCCGGCUCUCUGCUUACGUGACUAGUGGCCACGCCGGAGCCCCGACACGGGGUCUGUGAGCUUUCGAAAACCCACUGGGAGUCUUCAAGCUGGGCCAUGGAGCUGACCAAAGCCAAAAUAAACAAUGGCUUGAAGAAAAUCUACCAUAAAGUGCUGAUUUGCACGAUUCCCACAGCAAGCCGUGGCCCCCACCAUCACUCCCAUGGAAAACACCACUGCUGGGGCCAAAUCAAGUUUCCCCCCAUGGACGGGGCAUUGUUUUUUGUUAUUAUGUGAGUUCUCAGCGUCAGACAAUGGCACCACAAGAGACACAGUGGAGGCAGGAGAAGUGCUUUUUUGUUUCACGGAAUCUUUUUGCAGUUGUGCCCCCAGCGUCUUGCGUGAAGUUUUAGUUGCAUAUAUUCAUUUUGGUAGCAUGUAUGUGAACAAUGAAUGUGCCAGGCUAAAGCCUGAAGUCCCUUCCUUAUUUUUUUUUUCGGAGCCUAUCAAGUGUUAAAUCAUAUUAGCAUCGCCUUGCACGCUCUCGCGCUCUCUCUCAAGCUCGCUCUCUCCCUCCUCCCCCUCACACCUCCCAAUUAACAGAUUCUCUAAUAAAGUUUGGCCCCCGCAGAAAGAGUGGUACGUCAGGGGUUCUAUCACAGGUCAGGCAUCCAGGAUGCGGGGUUACAAGCUCAGCUCCAUUCCUGCUUAGCUUUGCUUCCCAGGAGGAACCAUUCAAGCCCUUUGGAACCCUUCCUCCCUCUCUCUCCCUCCCUCCCUCCCUCUCCCUCCUCCUCCCUCUCUCUCUCUCUCUCUCUCUCUCUCUCUCUCUCUCUCUCUCUCUCUCUCUCUCUCUCUCGGGCUUUGAUUCCAGAAGUAAACAGGCCUCUUUGGAAACUUGCUGAGAAUAUCUGCAGAGAACAGGUAGGGGACAGCUGCCCUGAUCAGAAGGUAUGUGAACUGGGGAAGAAAAGCAGAAACGCCUAAUGAGGCCAACUAGGACCCUCUGGUUGGUCCAGGGAGUGGGUUGCCUGCUCAGCCUAGGUCUUGUUUUCCUGACUGCCUGUUUGUUGGGCUUAUUUGUUUGGUGUUGUUUGUCUAUCAACCUCGUUUACAUAUUAAAGUGAGAUUGUUCCUGAUUUA
This is a long non-coding RNA of Mus musculus (house mouse), 13360 nucleotides long. RefSeq annotates it as predicted gene, 30541. The transcript is spliced from 3 exons. The record is from RefSeq and is a predicted model, not a curated record. Lineage: Eukaryota; Metazoa; Chordata; Mammalia; Rodentia; Muridae.